This 153-nucleotide ribosomal RNA is filed under the name Enterobacter sp. NC371. Its description in RNAcentral is "partial 16S ribosomal RNA". It matches the Rfam family "Bacterial small subunit ribosomal RNA", at positions 337 to 484 of the family's 1533-position model. Lineage: Bacteria; Pseudomonadati; Pseudomonadota; Gammaproteobacteria; Enterobacterales; Enterobacteriaceae. The record is from RNAcentral.
UCCUACGGGAGGCAGCAGUGGGGAAUAUUGCACAAUGGGCGCAAGCCUGAUGCAGCCAUGCCGCGUGUAUGAAGAAGGCCUUCGGGUUGUAAAGUACUUUCAGCGAGGAGGAAGGCGUUAAGGUAAAUAACCUAGCUGAUGACGUACUCGCAG